This is a non-coding RNA of Lolium perenne, 1317 nucleotides long. NCBI's taxonomy places the organism in Eukaryota, Viridiplantae, Streptophyta, Magnoliopsida, Poales, Poaceae. The record is from RefSeq and is a predicted model, not a curated record.
AUAUGGAUAUUUCACUCACCAUCUCUCUUAGUCUUGCUCUGCAAUUGUCUAGACCACCAUCAUCACCAUCAUCUCUUGGCCAAAUGGACAAUUUGAUCUAAGUUCUUUGUUCUCCCACAUAGGCACCAAUGUUUACUAUCACCUCCCUCCCAAAUUUGUAUACUUCAUCAAACCAUUUUUAGCUAACCCUCCCAACACUCCACCUUGGUCGACAUUCAUGAAGUGGCAUUGUAUUUUGCUUGUUCACUUGUGAUUGUCAAGAAGGAGCCGGCCAUGACAAGAUUUUCGGCCAGCCCUCCCUCCUCACUUCCUUCUCUUACAAGCUUUGCCUCCCACCUAACCCAAUCACUAAAUGGGCAGCCACCCACCUUGGCCAAUCAAGUGAAGGGCUGCCACCACUCUCUCCCUCUAUAAAGCUCACUUGGCCGGCCACCCCUCCACCUUUGGCUCUCAUUUUUGACUCUCCACUCCUUCCUCCACUCACUCACACUCCUCUCCUACCUCUUCCCCACGAGCUGCUGCUCCCCCAAGGCUCCAUGGCCGGCCAUGGCCAUGGAAAGCUCACCAAGAUGCGGCUCCUUCCUCCCUCAAGCUCAUCCUCACCAUGAGAGCCUCCCUCUCCAUCUUCUCCCCAACCUUAGAUGGUUUAAUCUCCUCUUCUUCUUCCUCCAUUGCUAAGAUUGGAUCUUGAUGCAGGUGCAUGUUGGUCCAAGCAUGGAGAAGCAUGAGCAAUCCUCAGAUCUGAAGUUCUUGAGCAAAAUCCAAAUCGAGUGAUUCAAAGUUCCGCAGGUAGAUAUGGAAAAGAUUUACAACUUGGCGUUGGUCUCAUCCUCAAAUUCGUUACGGAUUGUCCGUGGUAAAUAAAGUUCUGUAGACAUGCAGAUUCACUGUUUGUUAGAUUUGUUCCGAUUUUACAAAACCUUUUUGAACAAACUCAACUGUGGGUGAAAGCCCUCUUCAAUACCUUCAUUUUGGCGGUGGUUUCACUUCGAUUGACCUCCUGAAACUGAAAUGGUUCACAGAUCAAGGUCUGGUCAGAUCUGACUUUGUCGAAUUAAACUAGGAGUUUGGAAACGAAUUUUUGAAUGAAACCAGUUGGGACCGAUGGAUGUUUUCUUAAUCAUCUCAAACAAGUUUCACACCUUUGUCUGUUAUGUAACUCCAGAGAGAAAGCAAAUGGUACAGACAUGCAGUAAACUUGUCAAUCCAUUUGUGAGAGUUUCAGAAACAAUUUGAACCCAAAUCUAAUUGUGUGUGCAUCUCUGUUUAAAUACCUUUCAAAUGCCAGUAGUCUCAUAUUUUUAGGAUUUUUCUACG